GACGGCCCCGUAAAACGGGCCGCCCCCGCCAGAGGACCCUUAACUCUGUUUCUUUUAGUGUAUCUUCUGAGUAAAACAAGCAAAUAAAUUAAAACUUUCAACAACGGAUCUCUUGGCUCUGGCAUCGAUGAAGAACGCAGCGAAAUGCGAUAAGUAAUGUGAAUUGCAGAAUUCAGUGAAUCAUCGAAUCUUUGAACGCACAUUGCGCCCGCCAGUAUUCUGGCGGGCAUGCCUGUUCGAGCGUCAUUACAACCCUCAGGCCCCCGGGCCUGGCGUUGGGGAUCGGCGGAGCCCCCCGUGGGCACACGCCGUCCCCCAAAUACAGUGGCGGUCCCGCCGCAGCUUCCAUCGCGUAGUAGCUAACACCUCGCGACUGGAGAGCGGCGCGGCCACGCCGUAAAACACCCAACUCUUCUGAAGUUGACCUCGAAUCAGGUAGGAAUACCCGCUGAA
This 453-nucleotide ribosomal RNA is filed under the name Fusarium solani. RNAcentral's name for it is "eukaryotic LSU rRNA". The stretch from base 93 to 246 matches the Rfam family "5.8S ribosomal RNA". Lineage: Eukaryota; Fungi; Ascomycota; Sordariomycetes; Hypocreales; Nectriaceae. The record is from RNAcentral.